GGCGGCGGAUCAGGAGGAAGAGAUGGCCUGCAUGUCCAUGAUUGAGUGCCUAGUCUCGCGGUCACGAUGGAGGCGCACGAUUGCAGGAGGCGGCGAGGUUUCUCGCGAGGGCGUUUGCGGUGUAGAUUAUGUAGUUGCUGAUUUGUCGCACGCUUCCAAAUUUGUCAAAGGGUUAGUUGUUUCCUUUUGGAGCCAUGACUUCCGUGCGAGUGCGUGAUUUGUUUUCCUUUUGAGCCAUACGCGGGAUCGCAAGGGGAGAUGACACCGAGGUUACACCAAACCAAAGUUGCACGAAAAAAAUGUCUUCCUUUUAUUCUUUUUAGUUGUAGGAGAUAGGAGAUACAUACCUCUCUUGCACUUUGAAGCUUUUCGAGGAUAAUGAGAUGCUCUAUAUUUUUCUUUUUCUUUUCUCUCAGGUGGGUAUCUUGUACCCCUAAUUCUACUAUCGGACACUUGUCCAUUUUUACCUCUCAUCUCACUUUUUCUUUUCUUCGAGGUUCCGGGCACUUGCCCCUUUUUAUUUCCUCGUAUCCUCUUUUUUUAGAGCACUCAUCUCCUGAAAUAAUAUAGCAAGUGGUAGUAACCAAGAUAACUCAAGCAUUUAUUUCACAGGGAAAAAUAGAAAUAGGAGAAUGUUUUUGGCUAUUCUCUCCCAGAUUAGGAGAAGAAUACUUUUAGGUGAAUCUGGAGAUGGAAUUGAGUGGAUGUAGGUGGAUGCGUACUUCCGGAGUAGAAGUAGCAUGUUUGAGUGAACGUGCAAGUG
This 763-nucleotide long non-coding RNA is filed under the name Sorghum bicolor (sorghum). RNAcentral's name for it is "long non-coding RNA (SBIC_LNC014366)". Lineage: Eukaryota; Viridiplantae; Streptophyta; Magnoliopsida; Poales; Poaceae. The record is from RNAcentral.